This is an unclassified non-coding RNA of Cavia porcellus (domestic guinea pig), 98 nucleotides long. It matches the Rfam family "Y RNA". Rfam says of the family: Y RNAs are components of the Ro ribonucleoprotein particle (Ro RNP), in association with Ro60 and La proteins. The record is from Ensembl. NCBI's taxonomy places the organism in Eukaryota, Metazoa, Chordata, Mammalia, Rodentia, Caviidae.
GGCUGGUCCGAUGGCAGUGGGUUAUCAGAACUUAUUAACAUUAGUGUCACUAAAGUUGGUAUACCACCCCCCCCACUGCUAAAUUUGACUGGCUUAUA